GACGAACGCUGGCGGCGUGCUUAACACAUGCAAGUCGAACGAUGAAACCUAGCUUGCUAGGUCGAUUAGUGGCGAACGGGUGAGUAACACGUGACUAACCUGCCCCUUUCUCUGGGAUAACGCUCCGAAAGGAGUGCUAAUACCGGAUACUCACAUCGAGGCACAUGCCUUGGUGUGGAAAGUUUUUCGGAAAGGGAUGGAGUCGCGGCCUAUCAGCUUGUUGGUGAGGUAACGGCUCACCAAGGCGACGACGGGUAGCCGGCCUGAGAGGGCGACCGGCCACACUGGGACUGGGACACGGCCCAGAAUCCGACGGGAGGCAGCAGGGGGAAAUAUUGCACAAUGGGCGCAAGCCUGAUGCAGCGACGCCGCGUGAGGGAUGAAGGUCUUCGGAUUGUAAACCUCUGUCAGUAGGGACGAAGCGAAAGUGACGGUACCUAAAGAAGAAGCACCGGCUAACUACGUGCCAGCCGCCGCCGUAA
RNAcentral lists this ribosomal RNA (482 nucleotides) under uncultured bacterium. RNAcentral's name for it is "partial 16S ribosomal RNA". It matches the Rfam family "Bacterial small subunit ribosomal RNA", at positions 28 to 523 of the family's 1533-position model. The record is from RNAcentral.